Vicia villosa (hairy vetch) is the source of this 461-nucleotide long non-coding RNA. RefSeq lists it as uncharacterized. The transcript has 3 exons. The record is from RefSeq and is a predicted model, not a curated record. NCBI's taxonomy places the organism in Eukaryota, Viridiplantae, Streptophyta, Magnoliopsida, Fabales, Fabaceae.
GAUGUAUUCCAUUCACGAUGCAAAUUAUUGAAUGUUGGUUUCUCAUCUCCCAAUAUCCAAUCACUGCAUCAUCAAUGAUAGUUUGAAGCGAAAGAGUCAUGGAAUGUUGUUGUUCGAGUUAUUCGAUUUUGGUUUGUGCCGGACAUGAAUUCGAAACAUAAGUUUUAUGCUAUGGGAGAUGGUUCUAAUGGAUGAGAAGGGUUUCAAGAUUCAAGCUUCUAUUCGUAAGGCUCUGCUGUCUCAAUUUGAGAAUCAGAUUCGUGAGGGUAUUGUUUAUAAUUUACAAUAUUUUGGGGUUGCCGCUAAUACUGGAGGAUAUAGGACCACGAAACACCUGUUCAAGUUGAAUUUCCAGAGGUUGGCCAUCUCUGCAUGCUUUUAUAUGAACUGAAAUGGGCUAAUUAUGUUUUUAGUUUCAUUAAAAACGUUAAUGGAAUGUAUUACGUUUUUCAGAUUUUUGA